ACUGUCAGUUCCGCCCUCGGUGUCGUCGGGUCGCCAGCUUCCUGGGCAGCCACCACUCUCCCGCCGUCGGACACAGCCUUCUGCACUCCUGUGUUCUCCUGCGGUCCGGACACAAUAGUAUGAACUUUAAGUGUUUCGUCUCCCAGCCAUUUUCUAUGGAAAAUCGAGGGGAUCGGGCCAUGGUAGCCACCGGCAGCUUUGAAGAACGAGACACCUUUAGAGAAGCUUGACCUUGGAGGCCUCAGCCUGAGACCUCAAAGCAGCCUCCAGAACUCCGGCAGAGUUCCUCUGUCUCGUCUUGCCGAUUGAAGGUCCCCGUUUCUCCAAUUUCUCUCCAUCUUCUGGGAGGUAGCAGGAAAUCAGAAUCAUGGUUGGUUUCAAGGCCACAGAUGUGCCCCCAACAGCCACUGUGAAGUUCCUGGGGGCUGGGACAGCUGCCUGCAUUGCAGAUCUCAUCACUUUCCCUCUGGAUACCGCCAAGGUCCGGCUGCAGAUCCAAGGGGAGAGUCAAGGGCUAGUGCGCACCGCAGCCAGCGCCCAGUACCGUGGCGUUCUGGGUACCAUCCUAACCAUGGUGCGCACUGAGGGUCCACGCAGCCUCUACAAUGGGCUGGUCGCCGGCCUGCAGCGCCAGAUGAGCUUUGCCUCCGUCCGCAUUGGCCUCUACGACUCUGUCAAACAGUUCUACACCAAGGGCUCAGAGCAUGCAGGCAUCGGGAGCCGCCUCCUGGCAGGUAGCACCACAGGUGCCCUGGCCGUGGCUGUAGCCCAGCCUACAGAUGUGGUAAAGGUCCGCUUCCAGGCUCAGGCCCGGGCUGGUGGUGGUCGGAGAUACCAGAGCACUGUCGAAGCCUACAAGACCAUUGCACGAGAGGAAGGGAUCCGGGGCCUCUGGAAAGGGACUUCUCCCAAUGUUGCCCGUAAUGCCAUUGUCAACUGUGCUGAGCUGGUGACCUAUGACCUCAUCAAAGAUACUCUCCUGAAAGCCAACCUCAUGACAGGGUAAAAACCCCACUUUGCACAUAAACAGGCGAGAUCAACAAAAAGACUCUGAAGUCCCCCUAAGAGAGUCUAGCUGUAGUCUGUCUUUAAAACAAUGAGACCCCUCUGCGGCAAUGGUGGGAUGCGGCUGGGAGAGCUGACAGCCUCUCCCCCUGCUUCAUGGCAGAUGACCUCCCUUGCCACUUCACUUCUGCCUUCGGGGCCGGCUUCUGCACCACCGUCAUCGCCUCCCCUGUUGAUGUGGUCAAGACGAGAUACAUGAACUCUGCCUUGGGCCAGUACCACAGCGCAGGUCACUGUGCCCUUACCAUGCUCCGGAAGGAGGGACCCCGCGCCUUCUACAAGGGGUUCAUGCCUUCCUUUCUCCGCUUGGGAUCCUGGAACGUAGUGAUGUUUGUCACCUAUGAGCAGCUCAAAAGAGCCCUAAUGGCUGCCUACCAAUCUCGGGAGGCACCUUUCUGAGCCUCUCCAUGCUGACCUGGACCCUGCUUCCCAGCCCUGCCCUGUCUUUUUCUUCAUCCUCUGCCCAGUCCCAUUCUCUUCCCAUUUCCUGCACCCCGAUUUACUUCCCACCUCACCUCCCUGUGCCUCUGUACUGAUGACUCACAGUGAGGAGGCCUGACACCAGACCCUGAGCCCUCAGCCCUUUCUACAGCUAAGCCCACAUCUUCAUCUUCAUCCCCAGCCCAGCCCAGCCCAGCUCAGCCAGCCUUCACCCAUAAAGCAAGCUCAAUGUU
Molecule: RNA transcript, 1739 nt
Organism: Mus musculus (house mouse)
Lineage: Eukaryota; Metazoa; Chordata; Mammalia; Rodentia; Muridae
Gene: Ucp2
Gene name: uncoupling protein 2 (mitochondrial, proton carrier)
Exons: 8
Source: RefSeq, marked validated